AAUAAGCGCAGCCAUAAGUUUCUGUGUCCAACUUCGACCGUUCGUCUUAUUUGAAAUUUUUUAUGAUUAGUAUUUUUAUGUUUAUAAGAUUAUAAACAUGAAUAAUACUUUAUGCGAGACUUAAGUUUUUUCAAAGAAAAUUCGAAUAAGACGGACGAUUAAAGUUGGAUAAACUCAUGGCUGCGCUUAUU
Molecule: non-coding RNA, 191 nt
Organism: Oryza glumipatula
Lineage: Eukaryota; Viridiplantae; Streptophyta; Magnoliopsida; Poales; Poaceae
Source: Rfam